UCCGGUUUGACACCGGCAGUCUCGCUAGAGUACUGGCUUGCGCCGAGCAACUAACGAUAGGGGUUGCGCUCGUUAAAGGACUUAACCUGACACUUCACAGCACGAGCUGACGACAGCCAUGCAGCACCUGUGACCGUUCCACCCUUGCGGGUGUGGCCCUACUUUCAUAGGGUUAAUCCGGCCAUGUCAAGCCUAGGUAAGGUUCUUCGCGUUGCCUCGAAUUAAGCAACAUGCUCCACCGCUUGUGUGAGCCCCCGUCAAUUCAUUUGAGUUUUAGCCUUGCGACCGUACUCCCCAGGCGGCGCACUUAUCGUUUUUACUACGACUGAUACGGCGUCAAAACCGCACCAGUCUAGUGCGCAUCGUUUACAGCGUGGACUAC
RNAcentral lists this unclassified non-coding RNA (382 nucleotides) under uncultured Phycisphaeraceae bacterium. Its description in RNAcentral is "contains 16S-23S intergenic spacer region". Lineage: Bacteria; Pseudomonadati; Planctomycetota; Phycisphaerae; Phycisphaerales; Phycisphaeraceae. The record is from RNAcentral.